GGCCUCGUAGCUCAGCUGGUAGAGCAUGCGGCGUCCAUGCGUGGGUUCGAAUCCCACCGAGGUUA
This 65-nucleotide transfer RNA is filed under the name Echinostoma caproni. It matches the Rfam family "tRNA". From Rfam's summary of the family: Transfer RNA (tRNA) molecules are approximately 80 nucleotides in length. The record is from Rfam by way of RNAcentral. Lineage: Eukaryota; Metazoa; Platyhelminthes; Trematoda; Plagiorchiida; Echinostomatidae.